Molecule: ribosomal RNA, 484 nt
Filed under: uncultured bacterium
Lineage: Bacteria
Description: partial 16S ribosomal RNA
Rfam family: Bacterial small subunit ribosomal RNA
Source: RNAcentral
AUUGAACGCUGGCGGCAGGCCUAACACAUGCAAGUCGAGCGGAUGAAGGGAGCUGGCUCCUGGAUUCAGCGGCGGACGGGUGAGUAAUGCCUAGGAAUCUGCCUGGUAGUGGGGGAUAACGUCCGGAAACGGGCGCUAAUACCGCAUACGUCCUGAGGGAGAAAGUGGGGGAUCUUCGGACCUCAAGCUAUCAGAUGAGCCUAGGUCGGAUUAGCUAGUUGGUGGGGUAAAGGCCUACCAAGGCGACGAUCCGUAACUGGUCUGAGAGGAUGAUCAGUCACACUGGAACUGAGACACGGUCCAGACUCCUGCGGGAGGCAGCAGUGGGGAAUAUUGGACAAUGGGCGAAAGCCUGAUCCAGCCAUGCCGCGUGUGUGAAGAAGGUCUUCGGAUUGUAAAGCACUUUAAGUUGGGAGGAAGGGCAGUAAGUUAAUACCUUGCUGUUUUGACGUUACCAACAGAAUAAGCACCGGCUAACUUCGUG